UGUUCUGUGGCUUAGUGGGUUAAGCGCCGGUCUAGCGAAUACUGAGUCGCGGGUUCAAAUCCCACCAGAACGC
Non-coding RNA from Aedes albopictus (Asian tiger mosquito), 73 nucleotides. The record is from Rfam. Lineage: Eukaryota; Metazoa; Arthropoda; Insecta; Diptera; Culicidae.